AAGUCGUAACAAGGUCUCCGUAGGUGAACCUGCGGAGGGAUCAUUACCGAGUGUGGGCCUCCGUGCCCAACCUCCCAACCCUUUGUCCGCAUUUCAUAUCUGUUGCCUCGGGGGCGGUCACCCGGGGACUCCGCGCCGGGAGUGCCCCCCAGGAGUCCAACCAAAUACACUGCGUCUUUGCGUCGAGUAUUGAAAAACAAUCAAUCAAAA
Molecule: unclassified non-coding RNA, 210 nt
Filed under: plant metagenome
Description: partial contains small subunit ribosomal RNA and internal transcribed spacer 1
Rfam family: Eukaryotic small subunit ribosomal RNA (bases 1-46)
Source: RNAcentral